RNAcentral lists this ribosomal RNA (449 nucleotides) under Escherichia coli. RNAcentral's name for it is "bacterial LSU rRNA". It matches the Rfam family "Bacterial large subunit ribosomal RNA", at positions 881 to 1326 of the family's 2925-position model. The record is from RNAcentral. Lineage: Bacteria; Pseudomonadati; Pseudomonadota; Gammaproteobacteria; Enterobacterales; Enterobacteriaceae.
CUCGUGAAUUCAUCUCCGGGGGUAGAGCACUGUUUCGGCAAGGGGGUCAUCCCGACUUACCAACCCGAUGCAAACUGCGAAUACCGGAGAAUGUUAUCACGGGAGACACACGGCGGGUGCUAACGUCCGUCGUGAAGAGGGAAACAACCCAGACCGCCAGCUAAGGUCCCAAAGUCAUGGUUAAGUGGGAAACGAUGUGGGAAGGCCCAGACAGCCAGGAUGUUGGCUUAGAAGCAGCCAUCAUUUAAAGAAAGCGUAAUAGCUCACUGGUCGAGUCGGCCUGCGCGGAAGAUGUAACGGGGCUAAACCAUGCACCGAAGCUGCGGCAGCGACGCUUAUGCGUUGUUGGGUAGGGGAGCGUUCUGUAAGCCUGCGAAGGUGUGUUGUGAGGCAUGCUGGAGGUAUCAGAAGUGCGAAUGCUGACAUAAGUAACGAUAAAGCGGGUGAAA